UUUUGCAUCAUGCUGUUCGAUGGUGUAGUAUAUUACUCUUUACCGAAAAGGUUUGAUUUUUAAUUCAAUUGGUUAGUAUUUAUUAUCGGGUAGAGUAAAAAAUUGAUUUAACGUUGUGAUAAAUUAGUCGUUUUCUUUUAUAUCUGUUUAUUAUCUUAAGUUUCUGUUUAUCCACAGGGCAGGGAGGUCCUGUGGACGUGUAUAUACUGUAAUAUAAUGGCUCGAUUUAAUAGGGUUAAAAAUACCCCUUUAUUAGAGUUUUGUUAUAAUUUAUUUUAAACUUAUUGAGGUAUUACUACUUAAAAGAUAAUUAUAUUUAAUAGUUUGUUAUAUUUAUGAUACAAUGAGUAAUAAAAUAAAUUAUAUUGUUUCUCAAGCAUAUUCCGUCUGUUUAUUAAAAACAUUUCUAUAUUGAAUUAUAUAUAGUAGGGCCUGCUCGAUGUUUGAUUAUCAAUGGCCGCAGUAUUUUGACUGUGCGAAGGUAGCAUAAUUAAUUGCCUCUUAAUUGGGGGCUUGUUUGAAUGGUUUGACGUGGUUAUUGUUAACAUUAUUUUUGUUUUUGAAAUUAAUUUUGAGGGCACAGAAUCCUCUUGAUUUAAUUAGACGGAAAGACCCCGGGAUCUUUUAAUUUUGCCUGGGGCAGGUUAUAUUUUUUCAAAUUUUAUAUCUUGAACCUAUUUUGGGUUUAUUGGUGUAAGUUACCCCGGGGAUAACAGUGUAAUAAUUUAUUAGAGAUCUUAUCGAUUAAAUUGUUUGCCACCUCGAUGUUGACUUAGGUUAAUGAUGGGGCGCAGUAGUUCUAUCAUGUGGUCUGUUCGACCUUAAUUACCUCCAUGAGUUGAGUUAAGACCGGCGUGAGCCAGGUCGGUUCUUAUCUAUU
Molecule: ribosomal RNA, 880 nt
Rfam family: Bacterial large subunit ribosomal RNA (bases 573-880)